UGCUAGUCUGAUGGUAGUGGGUUCCCAGAACUUAAUAACCUUAGUGUCACCAACGUUGGUAUACAACCUCCCACUGCUAAAUUUGACUGGCUUUUA
Unclassified non-coding RNA from Chlorocebus sabaeus (green monkey), 96 nucleotides. It matches the Rfam family "Y RNA". Rfam says of the family: Y RNAs are components of the Ro ribonucleoprotein particle (Ro RNP), in association with Ro60 and La proteins. Lineage: Eukaryota; Metazoa; Chordata; Mammalia; Primates; Cercopithecidae. The record is from Ensembl.